UACGGAGGGUGCAAGCGUUAUCCGGAUUUACUGGGCGUAAAGGGCGCGUAGGCGGUCAGCACAAGUCAGUUGUGAAAUCUCCGGGCUUAACCCGGAAAGGUCAACUGAUACUGUGCGACUAGAGUGCGGAAGGGGCAACUGGAAUUCUCGGUGUAGCGGUGAAAUGCGUAGAUAUCGAGAGGAACACCUGCGGCGAAGGCGGGUUGCUGGGCCGACACUGACGCUGAUGCGCGAAAGCCAGGGGAGCGAACGGG
RNAcentral lists this ribosomal RNA (254 nucleotides) under uncultured bacterium. RNAcentral's name for it is "partial 16S ribosomal RNA". It matches the Rfam family "Bacterial small subunit ribosomal RNA", at positions 524 to 776 of the family's 1533-position model. The record is from RNAcentral.